GCCUGAGUGGCUCAGUGGACAGAGAGCUGGGCCUCAAGACCCAGAGGUCGUAGGUUCGAAUCUGACCCCAGACU
Molecule: transfer RNA, 74 nt
Filed under: Monodelphis domestica (gray short-tailed opossum)
Lineage: Eukaryota; Metazoa; Chordata; Mammalia; Didelphimorphia; Didelphidae
Rfam family: tRNA
About the family: Transfer RNA (tRNA) molecules are approximately 80 nucleotides in length. Their secondary structure includes four short double-helical elements and three loops (D, anti-codon, and T loops). Further hydrogen bonds mediate the characteristic L-shaped molecular structure. tRNAs have two regions of fundamental functional importance: the anti-codon, which is responsible for specific mRNA codon recognition, and the 3' end, to which the tRNAs corresponding amino acid is attached (by aminoacyl-tRNA synthetases). tRNAs cope with the degeneracy of the genetic code in two manners: having more than one tRNA (with a specific anti-codon) for a particular amino acid; and 'wobble' base-pairing, i.e. permitting non-standard base-pairing at the 3rd anti-codon position.
Source: Rfam by way of RNAcentral